This 941-nucleotide ribosomal RNA is filed under the name uncultured bacterium. RNAcentral describes it as "bacterial SSU rRNA". It matches the Rfam family "Bacterial small subunit ribosomal RNA", at positions 9 to 916 of the family's 1533-position model. The record is from RNAcentral.
GAGUUUGAUCCUGGCUCAGGAUGAACGCUGGCGGCGUGCCUAAUACAUGCAAGUCGAACGAAACUUCUUUAUCACCGAGUGCUUGCACUCACCGAUAAAGAGUUGAGUGGCGAACGGGUGAGUAACACGUGGGCAACCUGCCCAAAAGAGGGGGAUAACACUUGGAAACAGGUGCUAAUACCGCAUAACCAUAGUUACCGCAUGGUAACUAUGUAAAAGGUGGCUAUGCUACCGCUUUUGGAUGGGCCCGCGGCGCAUUAGCUAGUUGGUAGGGUAAAGGCUUACCAAGGCAAUGAUGCGUAGCCGAAUUGAGAGGUUGAUCGGCCACAUUGGGACUGAGACACGGCCCAAACUCCUACGGGAGGCAGCAGUAGGGAAUCUUCCACAAUGGGCGAAAGCCUGAUGGAGCAACGCCGCGUGGGUGAAGAAGGUCUUCGGAUCGUAAAACCCUGUUGUUAGAGAAGAAAGUGCGUGAGAGUAACUGUUCACGUUUCGACGGUAUCUAACCAGAAAGCCACGGCUAACUACGUGCCAGCAGCCGCGGUAAUACGUAGGUGGCAAGCGUUAUCCGGAUUUAUUGGGCGUAAAGGGAACGCAGGCGGUCUUUUAAGUCUGAUGUGAAAGCCUUCGGCUUAACCGGAGUAGUGCAUUGGAAACUGGGAGACUUGAGUGCAGAAGAGGAGAGUGGAACUCCAUGUGUAGCGGUGAAGUGCGUAGAUAUAUGGAAGAACACCAGUGGCGAAAGCGGCUCUCUGGUCUGUAACUGACGCUGAGGUUCGAAAGCGUGGGUAGCAAACAGGAUUAGAUACCCUGGUAGUCCACGCCGUAAACGAUGAAUGCUAAGUGUUGGAGGGUUUCCGCCCUUCAGUGCUGCAGCUAACGCAAUAAGCAUUCCGCCUGGGGAGUACGACCGCAAGGUUGAAACUCAAAGGAAUUGACGG